GCUGUGGGGCGACGCGACACUGGCAUGAGGCGGGGAGGGAGCUACCGGAUUCCCCCUGAUGGGUCCUCAGAGACUGAGCCUCGUCCAUGCCCGGGGCGGGUUCGCGGUAUCGCAGCCCCCUCACCUCCGCUCCCUCCGCCACAUGCGCAGCCAGGGGAAAAAGUAGAAACAGCCCCAGUAGAUCCUGCAAAGAGAGGGCAGAGCCGGGCCGGGCGGGGGCGGGCCGGAGCUGACCCCACAGACUCCGCCCUGCGGUGCCUUGCCUUCGAGGAAGGCUCCGCCCCGCCCCUAGCCCCGCCCCUAAAAGCGGCUCCGUUCGCAGCCCACGCCCCUCGUAGGCUCGCCCCGCCCACCCAUCGCCCCCGCAGAACUCCACCCUCCCCCACCCCGGAGCCUCCUGGUUCCUCCUCCGCAGAACCCGCCUCCACUCACUCUUCCUCCGCCUCCAGCGCCACCUCGUAUCUCCUCAUUCCCGACAUGUCCUGGGCUCCGAACGUCUCCUGGGGAGUGACAUGAUUGAAUCAGGGAUUCCCUAGCCUCAGGUCCCCUUCUCCGUCAUGCUCAGGACGAGGCUGCCCGGUUCUCAGAUACAAGGAAAAGUAACACCUGGAUGUGAAAAAGAAAAAGAACUUCACAAAGGAUGCUCGCUGAAGCUUAAGACAUGUUUCGCAGCCUCAAACUCCUGGGCUCACGAGAUCCUCCCACUUCAGCCUCUCAAAGUGUUUGGAUUACAGGUUCAACUCUGUCACCCAGGCUGGAGUGCAGUGGUGUGAUCAUGGCUCACUGAAAUCACCGCCUCCUGGGCUCAAGUGAUCCUCCCACCUCAACCUCCCCAGGAGCUGCAACUACAGGCAAGCACCACUGCGCCUGGCUAAUUUUUCUGGUUUUUUUUUUUUUUUUUUUUUUUUUGUGUGUGUGUGUGUGUGUGUAGACGAGGUUUCUCCAUGUCUAGCCCAGGCUAGUCUUGAACUCCUGGGCUCAAACGAUCUGUCUGCCUCAGCCUCUUGAGGAGCUGGGACCACAGGCAUGUGACACCACGUCUGGCUACUGUUUUAAUUUUUUUUUUUCUAGAGAUGAGGUCUUGCUAUGUUGCCCAGUCUGGCCUCGAACCCCUGGGCUCAAGUGAUCCUCCUGCCUUGGCCUCCCAAAGUGCUGGAGAGUGACUGCCCCUGGUCUGUAGCAUACCAUUUUGUUUCCUUUUUGUUUUCCUUUUCUAUGUAUUUAUUUUGUAGUUAUUUUCCUAAUGGAUACCUUGGUGAUUAUAAUUAACAUUCUAAACUUAUAACAACCUAGUUUGAAUAAUACCAACUUAGUUUCAAUACUAUAUAAACACUUUGCUCCUAUACAUUUUAGUCCCUUCUUUGUAUUGUUAUUGUCACAGAUUACAUCUUCAUACAUUGUGUCCCUGUUGACAUAGAUUUAUAAUUAUUGCUAAAUACAUUUGCCUUUUAAAUUAUAUAGAAAAUAGUGGAGCUACAAACUAAAAAUACAAUACUAGCCUUUAUGUUUUUGUUUUUUUUUCUUUGACACAGGGUCUCGCUUUGUCACCUAGGCUGGAGUGUGGAGGCACGAUCUCAGCUCACAGAAGCCUCGAACUCCCAGGCUCAAGUGAUCUCUCCACCUCAGCCUCCCGAGUAGCGGGGCCACAAUACCUGGCUAAUUUUUGUAUUUUUUGUAGACACAAGGUCUCACUAUGUUGCCCACGCUGGUCUCAAAUGUCUGAGCUCGAACAAUCCACCCGCUUUGGCCUCCUAAAGUGAUAGGAUUACAAGUGUGAAGCACCACACCUGACUAUGUUGUCACUUUCUUUUUUUUUUGAGGCAGUCUCACUCUUUUGCCCAGACUAGAGUACAGUGGGGUGAUCUUGGCUCACUGCAACCUCCGCCCCCCGGGGUUUAAGACAUUCUCCUGCCUCAGCCUCCCAAGUAACUGGGAUUAUAGGCAUCCACCACCACAUCCAUCUAAUGUUUCUGUUUUUUGUAGAGAUGGGGUUUCACCAUGUUGGCCAGACUGGUCUCAAACUCCUGACCUCAAGCGAUCUGCUCACUUUGGCUUCCCAAAGUGCUGGGAUUGCAGGCACAAGCCACUGCACACAGCCUGCUAUGUCGUUAUCUUUAUCAGAGACCUUUGUUUAUUUUCCUGGCUGUGAGUUAUUAUUUUUUUGUCCUUUUGUUUCAUUCUGAAGGUCUCCUUUUAGCAUUUAUUUUUUCUUCUUUUUUUUGUUUAUUUUAUUUAUUUAUUGUUUUCUCCCUUUAGUUUUUCUUAUAGGGAUGUCUACUAUUAAUGAACUCCCUAAGUUUUGUUUAUCUGGAAGUGUUAUUUCUUUCUUUUUUUUUUUAACUUUCAUGAAUACUCAUUGUUUAUUUAGAAAAGUUUAAAAAGCUCCCAGUGAGUUCAUUAGUUAUCAAACGCACAUGAGUUAGACCCACUCUGCUUUGGUUUUUCGUCUUCAUAAUAAGUCAGCAAAAGUUGACAUUUAUCUUACUGGGCAUUUCCCAUUAGCCUGAACUGAAAUAGAUACCAAACAUUCUAGAUUCUUUAUGGUGCACAGUAUCUGGAGUCACAGCAAUUUUAGAGACAAGCUAGUGCAAUCAAGUAAUUUUCAGUCACAGAACUGAGGCCUAGAAGUGAUUUGUGCAUGUGAGUAGCUAGAACCAGGACAAGAACUCCAGAACCAGGGACCACGUCAGAGUUGUUCCUACAACAACUGACACAUUUCAGGUGGAAAAAACAAAUCACGUAACUGAAAACCAAAAUUUCAGUUACAUAACUGUUUUAUAUUAGCUUCCUAUGUAUAAAGCACAAAAACUCAGCUAUACAUGUUAUAAAAUUAUACAAACUUGACCUGUUUAAGGCCAAAAAUUUUUAUAAGGACAUACUUAUACAAAUUUCAUAAACGAUGGCCAUUUUUAGAAAAAGUUAUAUUUGCCCCCGAACAUAAUAGUCAUAAUUUGCUUUCAAAACAAACUCGAAGUAAAGAUUGGACUUUAAGCUUCCAAGCUGAUCUGCUUGUAACAGGUCUUUCACUUCUGGUAAGUACUCACUGAGCCAAAUGCCAUCUUUUAAAAGUUUCUGUAAGAUCUUCACAAAUAUGCUGUCUUUAGAUACUUCAAUUGGAUCAUCUUUGCCAUCAGAACUGGACCAGUUAUCUCUCUGAAGAGCUUUGCAAAGGAUCUCCAGUUUUAGAUCACUUAUAUUUACAUCUUCUUCCUCAUCAAUAUAUUCCAGCAAGUCCAAAGCUUUCUUGAAAUCAUAUUCAUUAGCUCUUCUAUUUUCUUCACAGAUAUAUAGACCAAUGAGUUGCUUUGUGGUCAAUACUGGCAUCACACUGAGCUGUUUCUCCGCUAGCAGCUGUUCAGAUACCAACGGAAGAGAAAGUCUGAAAAAUUCUGAUCAGCAAACUGGGUCAUGUAGCGCUGGAGUCGGCUCUGGUUGUCAGUUUGCUCACACAUUUAUACCAAGAUAUCAAAGUCACAGUAUUUCUCUGCUAGAGAAGCAGCCCACAGAGAUGGGAGUCUCCCUGUGUUGCCUACGAUGGUCUUGAACCCUUGGUCUCAAGAAAUCCUCCUGCCUCGGCCCUCCACAAAGUGCUGUGAUUACAGGCAUGUACUAGUGUGCCUGGCCAUGGUUUCUGUGUUUUAAGUCACACUUAGAAAGGUUUUUCCCUACCUGAAGUUUAAAAAUGUUCUAAUUCUUCAGGUCAUCAUGGUUUCAUUACUUUUGAUAGAUGAAUGAAGUUAGAACCUGUAUUAGUUAAGAAUUGCAUUCAGGUACAUCUAAUAGAGAUUCAACUACAAAAUAGGGUUUCUCAGCAUUCCUGGAUUCCUCUUAGGAUAAAGGAGAGUUGGAUGUAGCAUUACUUUCACUCUUUAAAGAAAAGAAAUCACACAUACAAGAAGAAAAGAAAUCACAAGACACUGCAAAUUCACAACUUUUCUUGAAUUUGUCAGCAAGCUGAAGUUCUAGGUAAACUCAAUUAACCUUAAUCUAAGGAAAGACAUCGCAAAGGAGAUGUGGUACAGGUGCACUUGCUUAUUUGGAGCCAACUCCCCCACUCCCCUCCAGUCAAGCUUGUAAGAAUCCAGAUAAAAGUUUUAAUGAAUUGCUAAAGGCCAACUGUAGCCCAGCAUGAGCAUACAGAAACCCUGGGCUUACAAGUACGGGGAGAAUUCACACACACUUGCAGGGUCCUUUACAUGAACCUUACUGUGUAUUCACAAGAAAGACUGGGGGAAGUGUGAGAGUUCUGAAAAAAAUAUCCCGUGUGGUACAAGCCUGGGGAAAAUGAAGAGCAGCUGCUGAAGGGAAAAGCAUCAAGUCCUUCCCAGAUUCUUCUCCCUUCUCUUCUCUGUGGAAACAAAAGCCUUAAGCUGCUGGGUGAAGGGCAGUAAGUCCUAUCGUUAGGCUGUAAAUCACUUACAGGUGAAGACCCAUUGCAGCUGGAAAAAGGGAAAAGAAAAAAUUCUCUACCUUUGUAGGCCCUAGACCAUUAGAAGUAUUUCAGCUGGGGGUGGCAUAGGCUCAGGGAGAAGGCCCUUCCUUGAGACUCAGGGGCACAGUGCUUGUCUAAAACUGAAGCUGAAUCAGUAAAACAGAGAAUCUCACCACCCCGACCAACCAGGCUAAUAAGCAGCAAGUAACGACUGCAGUCUGCUACUGAAAUAGCAUCAAGAGCAUGGAGGAAGACAUUGAGCAAACCUCUGGCAAGUCAGCCUCAACAAUAAACACAAACUUAAUAUUAGAGAAGCCUGGAGUCUGUUAUGCACUGACAGUAACAUAGCAAGAACAAAACCCAAACACAGCUGAGCUUCUGACUAGACUGAAUCAAUCUCCCAUACUAAAGUCCUAGCAGAAGGAAAGGGAUGAUCAUUUUCGAGCAUAAAAAUGAUUUAGCUCAGUCUUUGCUCCCUUACCAUAGACGUCCAGCUUUCAACAAAAUAUUCUUACAAGGCAUAUGAGGAAACAAGAGAAAAUCACCAAGAGACAAAGCAAUGAACAUAACCAGACUUAGAUAUGAUACAUAUAUUGAAAUUAUCAGACAGAGAAACUGAAGGAACUACAUUUAGUAUGCCAAAGGACCUAGUGGAAAUGGCAGACAGCCUUCAUGAUCAGAUGGGUAAUUUUUUCAGAGAGAUGGCAACUCUAAGAAAGAAUAAAAUGACAAUUCUGGAAAUAGGAAACAUAGUUACACAGAUAAAGGUUGCUUUUGUCAGGCUUACCAGUAGUUGUUCUUUUUCCUUCACAGUGGAGGAAAAAUAAGUGAACCUGAAGAUAGUUCCAUAGAAAUUAUCCAACAUGAAACGGAAAGAAAAAAGUGAAAAAAGCAAAACAAUGCCAGAACAGAGCAUCCAAGAGCUGUGGCACAAUAUUAAACAAUCAUGCAUAUUUUCAAUUGACAUGCUAGGAGAAUAGAAAGACAAUGGAACAGAAGAAAUAUGUGAAGAAAUAAUGGCCAUGGAUUAAAAAAAAAAAGAAAAGCAACUUUUUUUUUGAGACAGCGUCUCACUGUCACCCAGACUGGAGUGCAGUAGCACAAUGAUGGCUCACUGCAGCCUUGAUCUCUCAGCUGCAAGAGACCCUCCCACCUCAGCAUCCUGAGUAGCUAUGACUAUAGGCAUGCACCAUCUCACCUGGUUAAUUUUUUAUAUUUUGUAGAUACAGGGUCUCCGUAUAUUGCCCAGGCUGCUCUUGAAUUCCUGGGCUCAAGUGAUCCUUCCACCUUGGCCUCCCAAAUUGUUGGGAUUACAGGCAUAAGCCGCCAUGCCUGGCUAAAAUUUUUAAAAUUAAUGAUAGAUACCAAGCUAAAAAUCCAAGAAGCUCAGAGAAUACUGACCAGGGUAAACAUUUAAAGACACAGCUAGACAUGUAUUAUUUGAACUGCUGAGAAAUGAAGACAAAGAUGCUAAAGGCAGCUUGAGAAAAAAGGAAACAUUACAUAAAGAGUAACAAAGAUAAGAAUUACAGUAGACUUCUGGUCAAAUCUAUGUAAGCUAGAAGACAGUGGAGUGGCAUCUUUAAAGCACUGAAAGAGAAAAGUGUCAGCCUGGGAUUCUAUAUCACACAAUGAUAUAUUUCAAAAAUGAGAGAGAAAUAAAUACUUUUGGUUUUUUAGGCCGCUAGGGUUUCUCUUCUUCAUAAAACAGGAAGUUGGCUGCUAAUCUUGAUUCUCCCACUUCUUCCUAGCUAACUGAACCCAUAUUUUAAAAAUUAAGGUAAAAUUUACAUGUCAUAAAUUCACCAUUUAACUAUUUUAAAGUGUUUAAUUCAGUAGGUUUUAGUACAUUCACAACAUUGUGCAAUUAUCACCACUAAUCCUAGAACAUUUUCAUCACUCUCAAAGAGAAACCCUGUACGUAUCAGGCAGUCAACUACUAUUCUAACCUCCUCCUAGUCUGUGGCAACCGUGAAUCUGCUUUCUAUCUCUAUGGAAUUUCCUAUACUGAAUAUUUCAAAUAAAUGGAAUCAUAGAAUAUGUAA
This is a non-coding RNA of Callithrix jacchus (white-tufted-ear marmoset), 6477 nucleotides long. NCBI's taxonomy places the organism in Eukaryota, Metazoa, Chordata, Mammalia, Primates, Cebidae. The record is from RefSeq and is a predicted model, not a curated record.